GCCCUCUCCCGUGGAACGACUGCUUAGGUCCCCACAGUGGCCCGGGACGGGAAUGCCCUCUUGGUCGAGUGCAGUGGCUCACACCUGUGAUCCCAACACUUUGGGAGGCUGAGGCAGGAGGAUUGCUUGAGCCCAGAAGUUCAAGACCAGCCUGGACAACAUAUCAACAGGACACAGAAUGGUCUGCCUGGGCCUCAGUCACAUUGGAGGAGCAGAGAGAGAAGGAGCCAUGAGGAGUCACUCAAGGGUUUUAGGCAGAGCCGUGACACAACCAGAGAUACUACGAGCAAAGGUUCCGGAACAGGGCAGGGCAGGACAGACUGUGUUUCACUCUUACUGCCCAGGUUUGAGAGCAAUGGCGCGAUUUCGGCUCACAGCAACCUCCGCCUCCUGGGUUCAAGCUAUUCUCCUGCCUCAACAACCUCCUGAGGGCUGGGAUUACAGGUCCUCAGAGCCACCUCCAUCUUCCUCCUUGCAAUGAAUCCCACUCCACUCACACCACGGGUCCCGGCUACACUUCGCCAUCUUCUCUGUCUGCUGGCAAAAAUGACCUCAAGUAUUUCUUCCAUAUGUAGGUUUUCGUCCACGGUUCCAGGCUCAUAACUCCCACAGCCCUGUUUAGAGCCUUUGAUUAUGAUGUUGGCUGUGUUAGGCCUCAGGAGCAGGCCUUGGGGAAACAGAAUCUCUCUGGCCUUUUCCUGUCCUCCUUUCACCCGCCUAAGGCCGUACUCUAAUCUUCCUCCACCUUUCUGAUUGUGGGACCCUAAUUCCAGAGAGGGUCCUGCCCCAUACUCUGGGAGAAGGAAUGCUGUGGUUAUGAAUCUUCUAUAAAAACCCAAGAGGCCUGGUUCAGAGAGCUUCUCCAUAGCUGACCAUGUGAGGCUCCUAGAGUGUGGUGUGCCCACGGAGGGCAUGGAGCCUCCACACCCUUUCCCACUAUUUCUGCCCUACACAUCUCUUCAUCUGUAUCCUUUGCAAUAUCCUUCAUAAUAAACCAGUAAACAUAA
Molecule: long non-coding RNA, 1007 nt
Filed under: Homo sapiens (human)
Lineage: Eukaryota; Metazoa; Chordata; Mammalia; Primates; Hominidae
Description: novel transcript
Source: RNAcentral